AUCCAGCUGAAGGGUCACGAAGAGGACGAAACACGCGUCCUGGAU
This 45-nucleotide non-coding RNA is filed under the name Schistosoma mattheei. The record is from RNAcentral. Lineage: Eukaryota; Metazoa; Platyhelminthes; Trematoda; Strigeidida; Schistosomatidae.